AAAUAAAUUAUAAAUGUUGAAUAUUUUUAUGUGUUGUGAUAUUUUAUUGUAGUAAUUAUAUAAGUUUCUAUGGUGAUUUGUUCAAUGUUGUGGUGUUGUAUAUGAUGUUGUAAAAUUCUGUAUUUGAUGAGUUGAUGUUUAUUAUUGAGUUUAUGUGUGGGACGUAUUGAGAUGAUGCUAUAAACUUUGUGAUUGUGAAUAAUGCGUGUUAUUGAUGGGUUAACGACUAUUAUUGAGAUUAAAGGUAGAAUGUAAUGAGAAUGUGUAUGGAUGUGUGAUUUGAACAUGAAACUAUGUUAUUUUCCUUGUAUUGUCGUCGAUCAUGUUUGAGUUUUUCGUAUUGCGCUACGAUAAGAAUGUGAUGUGUUGGACUCUCGUUUACGAGAUAGUGAUUCGAGUGUCAUUUCCCUCUGCGCGGGGAGGUGGAUGUCUCGCCCAAAGGGCUUUUCGAUAAGUUGGGGAGAUAGGUCAGAAGUUGCGAUGGAAGACGACUCGAAUUGCCCUGUUGAGGAAACAGGUACCUGUUAGUGAUAACAGGUCAUGACGACACAAUAUGAGAAAACGACAUUGGUUCAUGUAUGUGUGGCUAUGAUAUUAAUGUUGUGAUGAAAUAUGUUAUAUGAUUAUAUUACUCUGUGAUUAAAAUGAAAUAUGCUUUUUGUGUGUUAUGGUAUUUUUGGUUGCUCACCCGGAAAGUUGUGGCUGUGGUUUCCACCUAUGAUGAUCGUACUUGUACAGGAGUAGAUGACAUUGCAGAUAAAACUAGAUCGAGGUAGCUGACGUGAGAGUUGGGAUAUCUGAGUUCGGGGAUUUAUUAUUUUUAAAAGUUUUCCGAUUUGAUAUUUUUAUGUAAAAGUGAUAUUCUAAGAUUUUCGAACGAUGUUUAUAGUGAUGAUUUAAUUCCGCAUUUGAAUUGAAUAUAUUAUAGAAAUGUUUUAAAAAUAAAAAAAAAAAUUACACAGUGACAUCUCGAAAAAUCAGGGUGUUAUACAAAACCCCCCCACUUCGUGUUUGACCUGAUUCUCGAACCACGGUUUGGUCCUUGAGAGACGACCUAGGAGUCACUUCCUAGUCUAUACUGCAUUCUUUAUGCACAUUAAAUUUUCAUGGGGUGUGACACCCAUAAAAUUUUGGCACUGUUGUCGAGGACUAACGGUUCGGUUUUAGGUCUUUUGUUGUGUUAGUGUGUGUUGUGUUUUGUUUUGUGUUGUGAGUGUGAUUUUCUAUUUUGUGUGUGCAUGUCGCAUGUUUAAUUGUGGUGUGUUUUGUUUGUUUCGUAAUUUUUAGCAUUUCCUUUCUACCUUCCCCCUUCUUUUUCCAUGUCUACCUAUUUUGAUUAUGUGAAUACUGCUUCUUCUGCUUGUGCCUAUGACUAUGAUUCUCCUUCUGCAUGCUAUUCUGAUUGUGAUGU
Molecule: long non-coding RNA, 1411 nt
Filed under: Vigna radiata
Lineage: Eukaryota; Viridiplantae; Streptophyta; Magnoliopsida; Fabales; Fabaceae
Description: long non-coding RNA (VRAD_LNC013384)
Source: RNAcentral